This 394-nucleotide long non-coding RNA is filed under the name Durio zibethinus. RNAcentral describes it as "long non-coding RNA (DZIB_LNC002229)". The record is from RNAcentral. Lineage: Eukaryota; Viridiplantae; Streptophyta; Magnoliopsida; Malvales; Malvaceae.
CCAUCACAAUCAUAUGCCAAACGGAGACAAUCACAUAGAAUCCAUGAUUAAAAAAAAAAAAAAACACAACAAGCAUCAUCUGCAAUCAGAGAAAUCAACGAGAAAGACACAAUAAAAAAAUUGCCAGAAAUUUUGGCAAGUUCUAGUUUGGGUUUGAUUUUAGGAGUUUUCUGUGAAGGAAGAGAAGAAACGAACAGUAAAGGCUACCCAUGGUGACAACGUCAGAAACAAUGAGCUAUGACCAGUUUCUGGGUUUUUGAGUUAAGCCAAUUUUGUGUUGGUCUUGAAAGUUUAAAGGUAGUUUGGAAGAUUAAAGAGAGGCCGCUGGGGUUUGAGUCGGGAAAUAGAAGCAAGAGAAUAAAGAAGGUCUUGUUUUGGUUUAAAGAGAAGCACG